Molecule: ribosomal RNA, 466 nt
Filed under: uncultured bacterium
Lineage: Bacteria
Description: partial 16S ribosomal RNA
Rfam family: Bacterial small subunit ribosomal RNA
Source: RNAcentral
GACGAACGCUGGCGGCGUGCUUAACACAUGCAAGUCGAACGGAAAGGCCUCUUUCGGGGGGUAUUCGCGUGGCGAAAGGGUGAGUAACACGUGAGUAACCUGCCCUUGACUUUGGGAUAACUUCAGGAAACUGGGGCUAAUAUCGGAUAGGAGCUCCUGCUGCAUGGUGGGGGUUGGAAAGAUUCGGCGGUGGGGGAUGGACCCGCGGCUUAUAUGCUGGUUGGUGGGGUGUUGGUUUCCAAAGGCUUUGCGGGGUGGCGGGCUGGGGAGGGUGCCGGGCAAAAUGGGGAUUGGAUUCGGCCCAGACUUCUACGGGGGGGAAGAAGGGGGAAUAUUGCACAAUGGGUGGGAGCCUGAUGCAGCAACGCCGGGGGCGGGAAGACGGGCUUCGGGUUUGAAACCGCCUUCGCUCAUGACGGAGCUGUGUGUGACGGUAGUGGGUAAAGAAGCACCGGCUAACUACGUG